GACCCCUUGCGCUUCCCAAGUGAGGCAAUGCCUCGCCCUGCUUCGGCUCGCGCACGGUGCGCGCACCCACUGACCUGCGCCCACUGUCUGGCACUCCCUAGUGAGAUGAACCCGGUACCUCAGAUGGAAAUGCAGAAAUCACCCGUCUUCUGCGUUGCUGACGCUGGGAGCUGUAGACCGGAGCUGUUCCUAUUCGGCCAUCUUGGCUCCUCCCCUGCACUUUUCAAAUAAGAGACCUGGGGGAUUUUAGAACAGGGCUUUCAAGGUAAUGAAGGAAGAGAAUCUUCUUUGGACUUCUUUUUGCUCCAGAUGCGGAGAAGGCAACUUCCCGGAGUCUCUACCAGUGAGAAGGCUACAGAAUCAUGGGCAGAUAAGGUCUCGCUCUGUGGCUAUAGCUCACUGCAGCCUCAAAUUCCUGCGCUCAAGUAAUCCUCCCACCUCAGCUUCCCAAGUAGAUGGGACUACAGCUCCAAAUAACCCCGUGAUUUUGGAUGAUUGAUUAUGGGAAUGCUGCUUUCACUGUACAUCCAAGCUCUCCUGGCCUCAGCGGAUAAGUAUAUGAGAGCACAGU
Molecule: long non-coding RNA, 571 nt
Organism: Homo sapiens (human)
Lineage: Eukaryota; Metazoa; Chordata; Mammalia; Primates; Hominidae
Product: long intergenic non-protein coding RNA 1376
Source: Ensembl